GGUUUGAUUAUGGCUCAGAUUGAACGCUGGCGGGAUGCUUUACACAUGCAAGUCGAACGGCAGCACGGACUUCGGUCUGGUGGCGAGUAUGAACGGGUGAGUAAUGUAUCGGAACGUGCCUAGUAGCGGGGAUAACUACGCGAAAGCGUAGCUAAUACCGCAUACGCUCCUUCGGGGGAAAGCGGGGGACCUUCGGCCUCGCACUAUUAGAGCGGCCGAUAUCGGAUUAGCUAGCUGGUGGGUAACGCUCACCAAGGCGACGGAUCCGUAGCUGGUUUGAGAGGACGACCAGCCACACUGGGACUGGAGACACGGCCCAGACUCCUACGGAGGCAGCAGUGGGGAAUUUUGACAAUGGGGGAAACCCCGAUCCAGCCAUCCCGCGUGUGCGAUGAAGGCCUCGCCGUAAAGCACUUUUUGGCAGGAAAGAAACGGCACGGAUAAUACCCCGUGCAACUGACGGUACCUGCAGAAUAAGCACCGGCUAACCACGUGCCAGCAGCCGCGGUAAUACGUAGGGUGCAAGCGUUAAUCGGAAUUACUGGGCGUAAAGCGUGCGCAGGCGGUUCGGAAAGAAAGAUGUGAAAUCCCAGAGCUUAACUUUGGAACUGCAUUUUAAUCACCGAGCUAGAGUGUGUCAGAGGGAGGUGGAAUUCCGCGUGUAGCAGUGAAAUGCGUAGAUAUGUGAGGAACAACACCGAUGGCGAAGGCAGCCUCCUGGGAUACCACUGACGCUCAUGCACGAAAGCGUGGGGAGCAAACAGGAUUAGAUACCCUGGUAGUCCACGGCGCCUUCCUAAACGAUGUCAACUAGCUGUUGGGGCCUUCGGGUCCCGGUAGCGCAGCUAACGCGUGUGAAGACCGCCUCGGGGAGUACGGUCGCAAGAUUAAAACUCAAAGGAAUUGACGGGGACCCGCACAAGCGGUGGAUGAUGUGGAUUAAUUCGAUGCAACGCGAAAACCUUACCUACCUUGACAUGUCUAAAUCCCGAAGAGAUUUGGGAGUGCUCGCAAGAGAACCGGAACACAGGUGCUGCAUGGCUGUCGUCAGCUCGUGUCGUGAGAUGUUGGGUUAAGUCCUGCAACGAGCAACUUUCGGUCACACGACAGUUACACGAAAGGUACCCGGAACAGACUCGCCGGCGAUGAAACCGAUAAUGUGUGGACGCUGUCCAUGUCCGUGGCUUCACGCCCGCAUAAUAAUCGCACACGAGGGUCCAUCCCGUGAUGGGACAAUCCAGAAACCUGAUCAGCCCUGAUCGCAACAAACCAUCCUUAUGGAACGGAAUCGCUAGUAAUCGCGGAUCAACAUGUCGCGGUGAAUACGUUCCCGGGUCUUGUACACACCGCCCGUCACACCAUGGGAGUGGGUUUUACCAGAAGUAGUUAGCCUAACCGUAAGGAGGGCGAUUACCACGGUAGGAUUCAUGACUGGGGGUGAAGUCGUACUACA
Molecule: ribosomal RNA, 1453 nt
Filed under: uncultured Bordetella sp.
Lineage: Bacteria; Pseudomonadati; Pseudomonadota; Betaproteobacteria; Burkholderiales; Alcaligenaceae
Description: partial 16S-23S ribosomal RNA intergenic spacer
Rfam family: Bacterial small subunit ribosomal RNA
Source: RNAcentral